CCUACGGGAGGCAGCAGUGAGGAAUAUUGGUCAAUGGCCGGAAGGCUGAACCAGCAAAGCCGCGUGAAGGACGAAGGUGCCAAGAAUUGUAAACUUCUUUUGUCAAGGGACAAAAUCAGGCUCGAGAGCCUGACCGAGGGUACUUGAAGAAAAAGCAUCGGCUAACUUCGUGCCAGCCGCCGCGGUAAUACUGGGGAUGCGAGCGUUAUCCGGAUUUAUUGGGGUGAACGGGUGCGUAGGCGGGCUGUUAAGUCAGCGGUAAAAGCCAGGGGCUCAACCCCGGCGAGCCUUUGAAACUGGCUGUCUUGAGAUGUCGAGAGGUAUGCGGAAUGCGCAGUGUAGCGGUGAAAUGCUUAGAUAUUGGGCAGAACUCCGAUUGCGAAGGCAGCAUACCGGCGGCGAUCUGACGCUGAGGCACGAAAGCGUGGGUAUCGAACAGGAUUAGAUACCCGUGUAGUC
Molecule: ribosomal RNA, 459 nt
Filed under: uncultured bacterium
Lineage: Bacteria
Description: partial 16S ribosomal RNA
Rfam family: Bacterial small subunit ribosomal RNA
Source: RNAcentral